AGUGAACGCUGGCGGUAGGCCUAACACAUGCAAGUCGAACGGCAGCACAGUAAGAGCUUGCUCUUACGGGUGGCGAGUGGCGGACGGGUGAGGAAUACAUCGGAAUCUACUUUUUCGUGGGGGAUAACGUAGGGAAACUUACGCUAAUACCGCAUACGACCUACGGGUGAAAGCAGGGGAUCUUCGGACCUUGCGCGAUUGAAUGAGCCGAUGUCGGAUUAGCUAGUUGGCGGGGUAAAGGCCCACCAAGGCGACGAUCCGUAGCUGGUCUGAGAGGAUGAUCAGACACACUGGAACUGAGACACGGUCCAGACUGCUACGGGAGGCAGCAGACGGGAAUAUUGGACAAUGGGCGCAAGCCUGAUACAGCCAUACCGCGUGGGUGAAGAAGGCCUUCGGGUUGUAAAGCCCUUUUGUUGGGAAAGAAAAGCAGCAGGUUAAUACCCCGCUGUUCUGACGGUACCCAAAGAAUAAGCACCGGCUAACUUCGUG
Molecule: ribosomal RNA, 492 nt
Filed under: uncultured bacterium
Lineage: Bacteria
Description: partial 16S ribosomal RNA
Rfam family: Bacterial small subunit ribosomal RNA
Source: RNAcentral